Molecule: ribosomal RNA, 513 nt
Filed under: Triticum aestivum (bread wheat)
Lineage: Eukaryota; Viridiplantae; Streptophyta; Magnoliopsida; Poales; Poaceae
Description: partial small subunit ribosomal RNA
Source: RNAcentral
AUGCUGACCAUUGAACUGCGUGUUGUUCAUAAUGCAGAUGGACAAGGGCAAGGAGGUGUGGUGCCACCAUUGGAGAAGGGCAAGGAGGUUGUGCCUCCAUUGGUCGAAGUACUGGUGCAGGAUCACCCAAGCCCCAAGCGGAUGAACUAUGAACACUUCCAUCAGGAGGCAGGACCAAACCACUUCUGCAAGGUUAUCCUUGCUCCAAAGCUGGAGAGUCUGCCAUUGUCUCAGGACUUCACAAAGCACUUCCCCGCCAUCCCUACAGAGUUCAAGCUGAAGACGAACACCGACUGCAUAUGGAGGGUGACCGUGAAGGUGAUCAACGACAGGGUCACCCUUGAUCAGGGUUGGGCCACCUUCGCCGCCGUCCACCAGAUCAUGAUCGGGUACAUGUUCACGUUCAAGUUGUUGUCCCCCGACACCAUGAAGGUGAUCGUCUUGAACGAUGAAGGCGUGGAGGUGGUCACCAAAUGCAAGGAGCACGGCAAUGCCUUCGCCGCGACCGCCUAA